AUUGAACGCUGGCGGCAGGCCUAACACAUGCAAGUCGAACGAGUGGCGGACGGGUGAGUAAUGUCUGGGAAACUGCCCGCUGGAGGGGGAUAACUACUGGAAACGGUAGCUAAUACCGCAUACCAUCGGAUGUGCCCAGAUGGGAUUAGCUAGUAGGUGGGGUAACGGCUCACCUAGGCGACGAUCCCUAGCUGGUCUGAGAGGAUGACCAGCCACACUGGCACGGAGACGCGGUCGAGACUCUUACGGGAGGCAGGAGUGGGGAAUAUGGCACAAUGGGGGGAAUCAUGAAGGAGCUACGCCGGUAGAGCGAUGAAGGUGUGCGAAUCGUAAAGCUCGUUCCGUUACCAUCGGAGGAAGCACCGGCUAACUCCGUGCCAGCAGCCGCGGUAAUUC
Molecule: ribosomal RNA, 396 nt
Filed under: uncultured bacterium
Lineage: Bacteria
Description: partial 16S ribosomal RNA
Rfam family: Bacterial small subunit ribosomal RNA
Source: RNAcentral